Molecule: long non-coding RNA, 389 nt
Organism: Quercus lobata
Lineage: Eukaryota; Viridiplantae; Streptophyta; Magnoliopsida; Fagales; Fagaceae
Exons: 2
Source: RefSeq, a predicted model, not a curated record
UCAGCCUUCACGUCUAAACCCCAAAACCUCUCUGUUUUCUAAUAUACGCCAAAACUCAAUCCUCCCGCCGCCGCUGCCGCCAUGGAUCACCGCCACUACAUCGAUUUCUCUUUGCCUCUCCAUCAUCGCUCAAUCUAGCCCAUCAUGUUUUAUUUUGAGGUUCCAGGGAUGAAGGAGAUCAAAAUUUCAAAGGCCAAUUUGAUGUAAGCUGUGGCUUUUGUGAUGGGUGGAAUUCAAGAAGCCUGCAAUGAUAUUUAAAUCUUUCAACGGUAUCAUAUACAUAAUACCAAGUUUUGUAUUUUUAUAUUCCCAGUAUGUGAUAUAUUGUUUUAACCAAUCCAGUUGAUUGUAUUUUUAUACUCCCAGUAUUUGAUAAUUGUUUUAACCAA